UAACGGAAAAAGCACGACUUUCUUCUGAGG
RNAcentral lists this non-coding RNA (30 nucleotides) under Rattus norvegicus (Norway rat). The record is from RNAcentral. Lineage: Eukaryota; Metazoa; Chordata; Mammalia; Rodentia; Muridae.